CUACGUGCCAGCAGCCGCGGUAAUACGGAAGGUCCAGGCGUUAUCCGGAUUUAUUGGGUUUAAAGGGAGCGUAGGCUGGAGAUUAAGUGUGUUGUGAAAUGUAGACGCUCAACGUCUGACUUGCAGCGCAUACUGGUUUCCUUGAGUACGCACAACGUUGGCGGAAUUCGUCGUGUAGCGGUGAAAUGCUUAGAUAUGACGAAGAACUCCGAUUGCGAAGGCAGCUGACGGGAGCGCAACUGACGCUGAAGCUCGAAGGUGCAGGUAUCGAACAGGAUUAGAUACCCUGGUAGUCCGCACAGUAAACGAUGGAUGCCCGCUGUUGGUACCUGGUAUCAGCGGCUAAGCGAAAGCAUUAAGCAUCCCACCUGGGGAGUACGCCGGCAACGGUGAAACUCAAAGGAAUUGACGGGGGCCCGCACAAGCGGAGGAACAUGUGGUUUAAUUCGAUGAUACGCGAGGAACCUUACCCGGGCUUGAA
Molecule: ribosomal RNA, 481 nt
Filed under: uncultured bacterium
Lineage: Bacteria
Description: bacterial SSU rRNA
Rfam family: Bacterial small subunit ribosomal RNA
Source: RNAcentral